CCACGUCGUUAGUUACAGUGUCUAGCGAGACUGCCCGUGAUAAGCGGGAGGAAGGUGUGGAUGACGUCUAGUCAGCAUGGCCUUUAUGUCCUGGGCUACACACACGCUACAAUGGCCAGUACAAUGGGUAGCGAAACCGCGAGGUGGAACCAAUCUCGUAAAGCUGGUCUCAGUUCGGAUUGUAAGCUGCAACUCGCCUGCAUGAACUCGGAGUUGCUAAUAACCGCGCGUCAGCACAGUGCGAUGAAUACGUUCCCGGGUCUUGUACACACCGCCCGU
RNAcentral lists this ribosomal RNA (279 nucleotides) under uncultured Chloroflexota bacterium. RNAcentral's name for it is "uncultured Chloroflexi bacterium partial 16S ribosomal RNA". It matches the Rfam family "Bacterial small subunit ribosomal RNA", at positions 1103 to 1397 of the family's 1533-position model. Lineage: Bacteria; Bacillati; Chloroflexota. The record is from RNAcentral.